AGGGGUGUCGCCCGACCGCAGUGCCCGCUCGGUGCGCGCAGAGGCUGCGUGGAGAGAGGGCAACCAGCAACUUGGUGCCACCCUAGAGAGCGCUGCCCGGGCCGCCUUCCUUCCUGCCCGCAGCCCUGGGAGGUACGUACUACUGGCCCCCUUUCAACGGCUGGGAAAACUGAGACCCAGAAAGGGGAAGGGACUUGCUCAGAGUCAUACUGUGAAUGUGGACGAGGACCAGCUCUCAACUCCAAGGUGCAGCCACCCACGUCUUAACCAGAGCAGGAAGGCGUCAGUAACCUCGGUGGCCCAACCUCAGAACCUGACUCUGCUGUCAAGGGGGAAGAUAAUCCCAAACCCCGACAAGUAGCUGGAGAAUCAUAACUGACCUCCAACCAAGUGUGACUUUGGGCAAAGCGCUAACACUCUGAGCCUCAGUUUCAACGUCUAUUAAAUGGGGAUAAUUGUAGUUCCGCCUUUUAGGGAAUCCCUGAGAGGAUGAACCUCAGAAGGCAUUUAGCAGAAAGCCUGGCUGAUUUUGCCAUGCCUCCUUAUUAAAUGGGAUGCGCUAUAAUGGAUGGGGAAAA
Molecule: long non-coding RNA, 578 nt
Organism: Homo sapiens (human)
Lineage: Eukaryota; Metazoa; Chordata; Mammalia; Primates; Hominidae
Source: Ensembl